UGGGGUAUCGCCAAGCGGUAAGGCACCGGUUUUUGAUACCGGCAUUCCCUGGUUCGAAUCCAGCGCAUCCCAGCCA
This 76-nucleotide transfer RNA is filed under the name Escherichia coli. Its description in RNAcentral is "tRNA-Gln". It matches the Rfam family "tRNA". From Rfam's summary of the family: Transfer RNA (tRNA) molecules are approximately 80 nucleotides in length. Their secondary structure includes four short double-helical elements and three loops (D, anti-codon, and T loops). Further hydrogen bonds mediate the characteristic L-shaped molecular structure. tRNAs have two regions of fundamental functional importance: the anti-codon, which is responsible for specific mRNA codon recognition, and the 3' end, to which the tRNAs corresponding amino acid is attached (by aminoacyl-tRNA synthetases). tRNAs cope with the degeneracy of the genetic code in two manners: having more than one tRNA (with a specific anti-codon) for a particular amino acid; and 'wobble' base-pairing, i.e. permitting non-standard base-pairing at the 3rd anti-codon position. Lineage: Bacteria; Pseudomonadati; Pseudomonadota; Gammaproteobacteria; Enterobacterales; Enterobacteriaceae. The record is from RNAcentral.